GCGAGGUGGGAGGAUCGUUCGCCCCCGGUGGUGGGAGACGUUUAAACUUGAAUGCGAGCACGGUUAAAAUUCUCUGUUUGACAUCGGCACUAAAAACGCAUUAAUUUACUGUUGCUGUACUAAAACUUUAUUACGGCCGGACGAAUGAUUUUAGCAAAAUGUCCGAAUGGUUAUCAUUUCUGAGUUAGCGUAUCAAAGAGACGGCGAUGAACCAUUACAAUAAUAUUUAGUGCCAGAUGUUUUGUGGCAUAAACCUUAGCUAUUGUUAAGACGUUCCUAUCAUCCUCUGUACCGGAUCUAUUUUUUCCUAGUUCUGCGGGGUCGGUUAUUUUGAAAAGUACUUAAACUACAAGGUGUUUCAGGAAAGUCCCCGUAAACAGCUGAAAUAUAAUCCCCUGCUGUCAAAUGCAAAAUUAAUCCGGUACUGGUGAACCCAUUUUUUGGGAACGCCCACAACCUGCAAUUUGAGUGGGAGAGUUACCAGCGAAUAACAAUCGGCAAAGCUCGUGAUUAUCUUUCUGAGUGAAAUCCAACCUACUUUUUUUUAGAGAGAGUCAAUUUGAAUAUAUGGUUUGAAACUCUUUCUCUCUUGAUUAUAAUAUGGAAACUAGUUUUAGUUUCAUUAACCCGCUUUUCCACCGGAUUUCGAAAAUAUUUUCUAUAUGAAAAUAUAUGAAACGGAAUACUUGUUUUAUAUUUAUAUUUUCUCCCAAAAAGGUUGUCCAGACACUCCAUUCUCCAUUCUCCAGUGCAAAUCGUCCGAACCGAACACAGUCUUGGCAUUUUGGAAAACUUAGUUUGUACUUCCGAACAUAAAGAAAGACAACAGAAGCGGAAAGAGAGAUGUAGUGAGCCACCCCGUUAAUAUUUCCGAGGCCCGAGCAUCCCGUACUCGUCUUCUCAGAAGGCUUAACCACGCAUUUUCAUUGCACACGUUAACAAGUUAUCAGCUCCACCGUCAUUCGUAUACCCAGGGCUAUGCGCUUACCCGAAGCUCUGGUAAAGCCAUGUGAAUAACAGCUCUCAUUCCGUCUAAUAGGUCGCAGAGAUAAAAUUCAGUUAAAAAACUUGAUGAAUAUUUAGUCAGUUACAUUAGUAAGAAUAUAGCUUAUUAUAUAUAAGACAAGAUUACAAAUUUCCUACACAUUAAUUAUUAGUUUUAGGUACGCUAUAAAACAGCAAUUAAGGCUUCGUUCGAACAACAAAAUUUGACGGAGCAACAUCCCAUUUGCUAAUUAAAUGAAAGCAUCCGAUAGCUAAAGCGCUAUAUAAAGUUUAAACACUGAAUUUACUCUUAGGCAAGAAUUAACCUUCUUGAUCAAUGAUUUUUAUAGUUUCACUUUUGAAUUAAGACAUGAAUAGCACUCAAAACAUAAUGGCAUGCAGUCUAUACAGAACCCAAUAAUUAUGCCCAAACUCUCCGUAUGAAUAAUAAUGAUGGCAUGAAUUUACUAAAACACAGCAGUCAGCAGGGUAAAUGCUUUUUAAAGACAUCGAACAUCUGCGGGCUUGUCGCCAUUAUAUAUAUAUAUAAACUCUAAUUACUUUUUUUAACUCUGCAAGUAAACAUGAAACAAAUCUUGCAACAUUUUCUCGGACCUCACCUUUUAUAUUUCGUUGAACUAUACUGUAUGUCUGCGACAACUGAGCAAAUCUGGCUCGUAUUAAACUAUAGCCAAUCCACAAUUAAACGUGGGGCUCGUUUUGCUCAAGGAUUAUUCCAAGAAUCAAAACCGGAACGAAAAAAAUCAUCGGUAAAUAGUAUAUACCACUUCAGAGGCAACUUUUAAAACGUUUUGUUUAUCAAAUGCAUGUGACCAGUGCUACAUUAAUAUGCUCUUACAGAUCGUGAAGAUAUAAAGUCAAAGAUCUUUGUGUCUGACGUAGGUAUAUAUAUAUUUAUAUAUAUCUAUAUAUAUGAUAUAUUAAUAAAAUCUGGUAGAACUAUAGAAGUUGACUAUUCAAUCUAGGCCAUCUCUUGCUUCUCCUCUACUCUUAUAUACGUAUAAAGCAAAAAAAUACAGGCCCAUAUACGCGGUUGGUCGUGUUUAAAAUGUAAAACUGAGCCAGUCGUGAGACUGAAAAACAACAACAUAGGUCAUAGCAACAGCAGUAUGCAUACUUUUAUCCGAUAAACAUCGGUGUGUAAUAACAUGAAUUAUAUAAUUAGCUUUUAUAGCCUUUGGGCUUGGCUUGGAAAAAACAAGACGAAGCGUCUAGAAUCAUGAAUCAUGAUUAUAAGCGACGGUGAUAUAAUAAUGGCUCAAGAAGCGACAAAGAUUUGCUCUAAAAUUAUGUUAGAUUGCUUCCCUUGUAUAUUUGCCUUUGUAAUUACACUAAAUUAAUUUCGUAGCCUUAGGCUCAGGCGAAUAUCAUUGAAUAAUUAAGUAAACCCGAGGUCACUUGAGACCACAAUUUUCGAAAAUCACCUCAGUCGUAAUUACACUAUCAUUAUAACUAUAAGUAAUUUUUUUUGGAAGUGUGGAUAUAAUAAUGCUAAAUGGUUAUAAAUUGCGCAGGCAUCUAACCUCGCCCAUCCUCGAAUAACAACCGACCAUAAAUUACUAUCCUGGAGAGAUAUGUCUUGCAUUAUAUAAUUACACAUGCUAUAGUGUGUUUAACAAAAAGGAAACAAAUCGUUUACUAAAACGAUAAAUAACAACUUCCAUGUUUUUUUAUUUCAAAGUGCAAUGCUAACUUGGGAACUUUGUAAAUUUUUUCUAAGGUUGAUCAGAUUUGUUGAAAGUGACAACUUCAAUAAUGUUUGAAAAUAAAACAACUUCCUAGCACACGCAUUGCUUGAUAUCAAAUAGAUUAGCAAACGAACAGCAUGAAGUACUGAUAGGAACGUGGGAAUUAGACAUGAUGCAGAGAAUGAAUGGGUGAUUAGUCAGGAUAAGUAGAUUUUAAUUACAAUCGCAAUCGUAUCUUCACUAAAUCUAUCGAAACAAUACGUAAAUACUUGCACGAAGCUAUAUAGGGACUGGUUAAUUAAUGAAUGCUUUCAACUUGUUUUAACUGCACACUAAAAUGGUGUUUUAAAGAGCGUUUUUUAAAUUUAUAAAAUCUUUCACUAAUGGCGGAUAAAAUUUUCAAAAUCAUAAAUCUGUAAAUUACAAUAAGGGAUUUUUUUCAAAAUACAUGGAAUCGAUUUUUCCAUCCUCCUGAAUAUCAUCCUUCAGACAAAACUGUCGUUAUAUAUAAUUAUAAUAGACAUGUGAAUUUCUAAACAAUAAAUACAACUGGUUUAACUCUUCAGAAAUCUCAGAAAUCUUCCCUGCAGCAACAUUUAGAAAGGAUGGCUAUACGUCGACAUUAUAAACAACUAAACACAAAAAAUUCAUAAAAUUUGAUUAACCCAUAUAUAGCUUAGUGGUAAUAAAGCAUUCCCUUGAAUGGGAUGUACUUUCACAGUUCACAAAACAGCACGUGCAUGUAGCAGUAAAUGCUUAUUAUUUGUGUUUCCGACAUUUAAAUUCUCGUCCAGAGCACCAACAAAAUUUUGCCAAAAUUUUGUAGUUGUGUUGGAAAUUUUCAGUUGUCAAAAUUUUCUACUUUAAAGAUUUCUAAAUGAUAGAGAAUCAAGAAUCAAAAUUUUCCAGGCAUGCAUAUUCAUUGUAAAAGGCCAAAGGUGUGAAAAUCACAGUACGAGCGGCGUUAAAUGGAGUUACACCCACUCCAUUAGGACCACUUAUUUGACAAAUGAUUAUAGCUCAGGAUAUUUUAAUAGGAAAUGAAUAUUUUAGUUGUUAGUGUACUUAACAUUAUGUCUGUGAUUAUGUCUGUGAUUUGCGUUAACUGUGGGCACGGUUGAAAACAAUUCUCUUUAUAUUUUACUUUCUUAUAGCCUCAAAAUAAAAAAUGGGCACUUAUCAUGGGAAAAUAUUAAUAUUAAAUUACCAUAAAACAACAAUGCGCGAGUGAUAUUAUCCGCCUUGAGUGGGAGCAGAUCUAUGAGGAGACUGAGUACAGGAAUCCGUUCCGCAAAAGCGAGGGUAAAUCUUUGUUAUAAUCAGGUGAUAUUGGAUCUUUUUUUAUAAUCCGUAUAUAUAAGUGAGAUUUUAUGGCUUCAACUAGUAAAUGUUAAAAAUGCAAUCACCAUAGCGUAAGAAUAUCAGGCUUAAAUAAAAAGACGCAGCUCUAUAUAUUAUUAAUAUCUCUACCCUAUUAGUACUACUCCUGGUGCUCCGUCAUCGUAACAGUACAGAGUGUAGAUAUUACAAAACACAAAUUUUAUUAGUAACAUUUUCCUGGCCAUGAGCCUAUAGUAUCUAUUGAUGUGUCCUCCAUUCAAAAAGAGUAUAUCAUCUGCUGGACUGCCGUUAACGCCCCUAUUUUUUAUACUGAAGUUUUUUAAAAAGAAAUCCCCCAGGUUGAACCUUACUUAGUAUAACUGUUGCUAUUUAUACCGAGCAAAAUAGCUCCAGGACAUAAUUUAUUGAUGAAAACGUGCGUAAAUCCGUAAGUAAUUCGAGUGAAGGUUCCUGUUUUUUUUUAGAAGUAAGAGCCUCGUUAUAAAAAAAGGAAAUCAUGAAUAUAAUCAUGAAUAUAAUAUCAUGAAUAUAUUAUAUCAUUUCAUAAGCAAAGAUGGCUGUUUUAUAGUCUGCUAUCAUGUAAUGUACAUCAGCAGCAAAUCCACUGAGGCCAAUGUACUACGGCUUCACCAAUAUAGCCGACUAUAUUUCAUACGUCAGAAGUCAAUUGGAUCCACAAAAUCGGAUCGUGUGAACAGACCUUUAGAAGGGGAACGUCAAAGACGACGUGAGAAUGACGAAUAAAUGACGUGGCGCGUCCAUAUUUGAGUACAUCGCGCCGUUUUCACGUGCUCAUUCUAAACCAGUCUGCUGUGAUUUCAUUUCUCCU
Molecule: long non-coding RNA, 4863 nt
Filed under: Dendronephthya gigantea
Lineage: Eukaryota; Metazoa; Cnidaria; Anthozoa; Malacalcyonacea; Nephtheidae
Description: uncharacterized LOC114524647
Source: RNAcentral